RNAcentral lists this long non-coding RNA (383 nucleotides) under Androctonus crassicauda. The record is from RNAcentral. Lineage: Eukaryota; Metazoa; Arthropoda; Arachnida; Scorpiones; Buthidae.
AAGUUAUGUUUGCUAGUCUGCACAAUAUAAUUUUGUGUUUUAAUCUUUUGCAUUUGAGAAUAGAACAAAAUAUAUAUAAAUAGACAAACAAAUAGCAAUUUCAUAUUAAGUUUAUACUUUCUUAUAUGUACAUAGAGAAAGAAACACAUGACUCAGUGCUGCCAACAUUAUACACUCUUGAGCCACAGUAGAUUGCUUUACAAAUGUAGUUGUACUACAGGAAAGACAUCACAGAUUGAGCAAACAGCUGGAAAACAGAGCACCACUUCACAUAGGAAUAUUGCAGCUCAUUGCACACUGGCUACAAAAUUAAACAUUGCCACAUUGACAAAUAUAUCUAAUUUUGUUUUCACAACAAAAAUAUCUUUACAAUUUAAUUUUAC